RNAcentral lists this ribosomal RNA (490 nucleotides) under Escherichia coli. Its description in RNAcentral is "partial 23S ribosomal RNA". It matches the Rfam family "Bacterial large subunit ribosomal RNA", at positions 2259 to 2748 of the family's 2925-position model. RNAcentral also lists the same sequence under 6 other names. Lineage: Bacteria; Pseudomonadati; Pseudomonadota; Gammaproteobacteria; Enterobacterales; Enterobacteriaceae. The record is from RNAcentral.
UGGUGGGUAGUUUGACUGGGGCGGUCUCCUCCUAAAGAGUAACGGAGGAGCACGAAGGUUGGCUAAUCCUGGUCGGACAUCAGGAGGUUAGUGCAAUGGCAUAAGCCAGCUUGACUGCGAGCGUGACGGCGCGAGCAGGUGCGAAAGCAGGUCAUAGUGAUCCGGUGGUUCUGAAUGGAAGGGCCAUCGCUCAACGGAUAAAAGGUACUCCGGGGAUAACAGGCUGAUACCGCCCAAGAGUUCAUAUCGACGGCGGUGUUUGGCACCUCGAUGUCGGCUCAUCACAUCCUGGGGCUGAAGUAGGUCCCAAGGGUAUGGCUGUUCGCCAUUUAAAGUGGUACGCGAGCUGGGUUUAGAACGUCGUGAGACAGUUCGGUCCCUAUCUGCCGUGGGCGCUGGAGAACUGAGGGGGGCUGCUCCUAGUACGAGAGGACCGGAGUGGACGCAUCACUGGUGUUCGGGUUGUCAUGCCAAUGGCACUGCCCGGUAG